CUAGAGAGGCGCCCAAGAUGGCGGCGCGUGCGGGCCACGCCUCCUCCGGGAGCUGAGGCGGGUGGCUGCGCUCGGUCGGGUGUCGCGCGUGGGGGCUAAACUGCAAGGGCUCAUGAGGUUGGGGCUGUUCCCAGGCCCAAGCGUGUUCCUGCGCGCUUCUUCUUGCUCCCUUUGCUUGGUCUUUCCUGGGUUUUUGUUGUUGUUUUUACUCAGAAGUGUAGUUUCUAAGUAAAUGAAGGCAUUACACGCCACAGAUUUGCGCAGGGGAGUCAGAUCCCCUGGCUCACCCUGAGGGAGGCUGGCCUCAGCAACAGAAAGCCAGAGCUCGGAUUCUCCCGCAGUGUGGAGCCAGUCCUCUUAGCUAGCCUUGAACAGCGUGGGAAAAGGCGGCUGUACCAAGUUGUAGAUGCCGGGCUUGAAGAGAAGAAUAGGUAUAUCUACGAAGUUAUGCUUACGAAGAUUGGAGACACCUUAGAAAGGAAGACUCAGUAAAAUUUUGUGAAACUUGGAUAAAUAGGUUGUUUGACUUAACAACAGUGGUUGGAGGAGGUCUUCGAGAGGUCAUGGCCUCCGAUCGACCUGUGAGGAGGGGCAAUUGGAGGCUCCUGACCCCCUCCCCUGUCUCGGGAAGGUGCGUUCCUUGAUUCCACUGCCACAGCGCCGCAGGGACGGACGCAGGCGGCCUUCAGAAAAACCACCAGGAGGGCGUUCGUGGGGAAUGAAUGCAGGAUAUUACUGUGAACUACAAGCAAUUUGUUCCUGUGUAGAGCUGCAAUAUUAACAAGAAGCUGUGGGUCUGAUGAGUUUUCCUUCAUCUCUCAGGGCAAUGGAGUAUGACGAAAUGGGAAGGUAAGAACAUUUGGAAGAUCAGAGCGGCUAGCUCUGUUGCCUGGGCUCUGAGGACUGUGAGCCUUACUUCUGGCAUUGUGUUUACAUCCCACAGCAUUGGUUGUAUGGCCACUGGGUAAAGGGCUUUCAGACCUAAGGCCUCAAGUAUGAUUCCCUAUUUUGGUUGAGGCCUGGCCAGCAGUGGCACUAUGGGCCAGAGCCUAUCAAAAAAUUAAUUAAUUAACAAAACAAAACAAAACAGCUCUCACCAGAUCUGUGGCUGAUGCUAAGAGUGAGACUGUGUGGAGACAAGAAAUUUAGUUGGAAGUUGAAGCUGAGAAGCUCAAGCAGAGUAUACAUUGGAGUUUCUAAUAUUAGUUGCAGGGCCAGAAUAAGGGAGCUGAAUAUGAAAGCAGGAACAUAAGGUAGAACCUCUAUCUGUAUUUGGAAUGGUCAGUGUUUACUGAGUAUGCCUACAGUGGUGGGGCAGGUUCUAGGCACCAGGGGGUUGUUCUAGUAGCUUACUUAAUUCUUGCUACAACUUUAGGACAUACGGACAACUGUUCCCAUCAUUUUACAGAUGGGGAUACUGAGGAAGGGCUAGUAAAUGGUAAAAGCAGGAUACUAACUCUGGAAGUCUGGGUCCAUGGCCUGAGCUCUUGACCACUAUUCUAUUGCCUCUCCUGACACACCUUGCCUAUGGUAUUCAUGUGCACACUUCAGGGCUACAGUGAGUGGACUCAGUAAGGGCUGGAGUGGGCUAGCAGCACGUGCAAACAACGACGUGCAGAAAUAGACCUUCCGGAAUGGGAUUAGGCAGGUUGACGCAACCUGAUACUGGAAGAAAUAGGAUCUCAUGGCCCUAAAAAGGAUGAGAUCCAAGGUGAAAGGUUUAACUGAGGCAAGGAGAAGGGACAAGACAUUUACUGAGUGGCAAUGGAAAUAGGCGUUGUUGACUC
This is a long non-coding RNA of Acinonyx jubatus (cheetah), 1787 nucleotides long. RefSeq lists it as uncharacterized. The record is from RefSeq and is a predicted model, not a curated record. The transcript is spliced from 4 exons. Lineage: Eukaryota; Metazoa; Chordata; Mammalia; Carnivora; Felidae.